AUUUAAUAUGGCAGAUUAGUGCAAUGGAUUUAAAUUCCUUAUAUAAAGAAACCAACUCUUUUAUUAAAA
RNAcentral lists this transfer RNA (69 nucleotides) under Solenopsis invicta (red fire ant). RNAcentral describes it as "tRNA-Leu". It matches the Rfam family "tRNA". From Rfam's summary of the family: Transfer RNA (tRNA) molecules are approximately 80 nucleotides in length. Lineage: Eukaryota; Metazoa; Arthropoda; Insecta; Hymenoptera; Formicidae. The record is from RNAcentral. RNAcentral also lists the same sequence under 2 other names.